RNAcentral lists this ribosomal RNA (453 nucleotides) under uncultured bacterium. RNAcentral describes it as "bacterial SSU rRNA". It matches the Rfam family "Bacterial small subunit ribosomal RNA", at positions 29 to 506 of the family's 1533-position model. The record is from RNAcentral.
AUGAACGCUGGCGGCGUGGAUAAGGCAUGCAAGUCGAACGGGCCAUGACUGCGAUUACAUCAAGAUCAUGGCUAGUGGCGAACGAGUUAGUAUCACCUUGGUACGUACCCCCGAGUCGAGCAUAACGGGUCGAAAGAUCCGCUAAUUCUCGAUAGUCUCGCAAGAGUAAAGUCGCAAGACGCUUGGGGAGCGGCCUAGGUCCUAUCAGCUAGUUGGCGGGGUAACGGCCCACCAAGGCUAUGACGGGUAGGAGGCGUGAGAGCGCGACCUUCAACGACGGAACUGAGACACGGUCCGUACACCUACGGGUGGCAGCAGUCGAGAAUAUUCGACAAUGGGCGAAAGCCUGAUCGAGCGACGCCGCGUGCAGGAAGAAGUCCCUCGGGAUGUAAACUGCUUUUGCGUGGGAAGAAUUUUGACGGUACCACGAGAAUAAGGGGUUGCUAACUCUGU